ACCGUGAAGUGCCUGGCAAUGGGUCCGGU
RNAcentral lists this small RNA (29 nucleotides) under Bombyx mori (domestic silkworm). RNAcentral describes it as "ovarian small RNA-11330". The record is from RNAcentral. Lineage: Eukaryota; Metazoa; Arthropoda; Insecta; Lepidoptera; Bombycidae.